AUAUGUGUGGCUUUGACUGUUGUCGAAUCACUUGUUUGUCUUAGUCGAACUGGGUUGACAGUUGACUGUAGUGGCCUUAGCCAUAAUAUUAUUGAUGGCCUUAGCCAUAAUAUUAUUGAUGGCCUUAGCCAUUUCGCGUUGAUGGCCGUAGCCAUGUAGUGUCGAUGGCCUUACUCGUUUUCUUAUUGGAGAUGGCCAUAGCUGUUUGUACGUAGAGAUGGCCUUAACCGUGUAUACACUGAAGAUGGCCUUAGCCUUUGAUACAUUGGAGAUGGCCUUCGCCGUUUUUCACAUUGGAGAUGGCCUAGUCGUUUAUACA
Molecule: long non-coding RNA, 319 nt
Filed under: Nicotiana benthamiana
Lineage: Eukaryota; Viridiplantae; Streptophyta; Magnoliopsida; Solanales; Solanaceae
Description: long non-coding RNA (NBEN_LNC018012)
Source: RNAcentral